RNAcentral lists this signal recognition particle RNA (98 nucleotides) under Accumulibacter sp. Its description in RNAcentral is "signal recognition particle sRNA small type". It matches the Rfam family "Bacterial small signal recognition particle RNA". From Rfam's summary of the family: The signal recognition particle (SRP) is a universally conserved ribonucleoprotein involved in the co-translational targeting of proteins to membranes. Archaeal SRP consists of a 7S RNA and homologues of the eukaryotic SRP19 and SRP54 proteins. In most bacteria, the SRP consists of a 4.5S RNA and the Ffh protein (a homologue of the eukaryotic SRP54 protein). Lineage: Bacteria; Pseudomonadati; Pseudomonadota; Betaproteobacteria. The record is from RNAcentral.
GGCGGGUCUCCCCGCAUCGCAGGGUGGUCAAUCUGGUCAGGUCCGGAAGGAAGCAGCCACAGCCAUUUGCCGCGAGUGCCGGGGUCAGGCUCGCCACU